RNAcentral lists this unclassified non-coding RNA (1132 nucleotides) under Zea mays. RNAcentral's name for it is "misc RNA Zm00001eb406390". The record is from RNAcentral. Lineage: Eukaryota; Viridiplantae; Streptophyta; Magnoliopsida; Poales; Poaceae.
CCAGUCUAGGGGCGGAGGUGUUCACAGCAGGUUUUCAAAUGGAGGGGCUUCCUCUGUGAUGGUCGCUGGACAGGGUCUGGGAGGUUCAGGGGCUUCUUCGGUGACUCCUCAAGUAUCAAACGCUGUGGACUUGCUCCAACAGGCAAUUACAACAUCAAUUGGCAACGGUAGCGUUGUCUGGCCUGUUCCAGAUAGUACCAUGGAACAGAUUGUUUCCUUGCUGCAGCAGUCUGUGGGGAAGAGCCAGCACAUUCAGAACUCGAGGGGGAAUCCAGCAGGUCCGAAUAUUGGGUCCCAACACAGUUCAAAGUUGGAGACCAUCAAAGAAUUGUCUACUCCAACCCACUUGGAUGACAAGGUGGGUUCUUCUGUGAUUUCAAGUUCAAAAGAGAAAGUGCCGUUUUGUUUCAGGUGCAAAAAUAAAGGUCAUCAGUUGAGUGACUGUAAUAUUGAGCUAUUUUGUGAAAUUUGUGAUGUCAAAACUCACUUAACUUCGAAAUGUCCGGUGGUUCGUGCCUGCAAAACUUUUGCAAUACCUUGCGGGUAUGCGGUGGAGGGAUUGGGGUUUUACUUUAUACCCCAACCCAUUCCAGUAAAGCAGAGGCAAGGUGGCUGCAAUGGUACAGUGUCUAUUGUGGAGGGUUCCAUGAAUGAAGAGCAGAUUUUGAAUGAGCUUAAAAGGUUGGUGGCUGCUGAUUGGGACUGGUGUGUGAAGUGUGUGGGGAACAAUGUGUUCUCGACGUGUUUCCCUUCCAGGGGUGAACUUCACCGUAUGAUCGAGUGGGGAACUGUUCAUACAAAAUUUGGUGCACAGAUGCUUGUCAAGGAAGAGGGGUUUGGAGAGGAAAUAAAAUAUGAGAUGCCUAAGGCUUGGGUGCAGUUCACUGGUUUACCUAAGGAACUUAGAGAGUACUCGGUAAUCUGGGCGGUUGGUUCUAUGCUAGGCAUCUCAAAAGAGGUGGAUAUGUUGUUUACUCGGAAGUUUGACAGGGCAAGGCUGAAGGUGGCCGUGCUUGACCCGAAUUUGAUUCCGCAAGUAGUUGAUGUGGUAAUUGGAGACUACUUAUAUGAACUGAAAUUCAGGGUGGAGUCAGCAGCUGAAGGUGACCAGCCUUUGCCGAUGGAUAUGGAU